ACUUUUAUAGCUUAUAUAGAGCAUAAUAUUGAAGAUAUUAAGGAGAUUUUUAAAUUUAGAGGUA
This 64-nucleotide transfer RNA is filed under the name Odontocheila batesii. RNAcentral's name for it is "tRNA-Phe". Lineage: Eukaryota; Metazoa; Arthropoda; Insecta; Coleoptera; Carabidae. The record is from RNAcentral.